UACGUAGGGUGCGAGCGUUAAUCGGAAUUACUGGGCGUAAAGCGUGCGCAGGCGGUUGUGCAAGACAGAUGUGAAAUCCCCGGGCUCAACCUGGGAACUGCAUUUGUGACUGCACGGCUAGAGUGUGUCAGAGGGGGGUAGAAUUCCACGUGUAGCAGUGAAAUGCGUAGAUAUGUGGAGGAAUACCGAUGGCGAAGGCAGCCCCCUGGGAUGACACUGACGCUCAUGCACGAAAGCGUGGGGAGCAAACAGG
RNAcentral lists this ribosomal RNA (253 nucleotides) under uncultured bacterium. RNAcentral's name for it is "partial 16S ribosomal RNA". It matches the Rfam family "Bacterial small subunit ribosomal RNA", at positions 524 to 776 of the family's 1533-position model. The record is from RNAcentral.